Lynx canadensis (Canada lynx) is the source of this 904-nucleotide long non-coding RNA. RefSeq lists it as uncharacterized. The record is from RefSeq and is a predicted model, not a curated record. The transcript has 2 exons. Lineage: Eukaryota; Metazoa; Chordata; Mammalia; Carnivora; Felidae.
AGUUCUAUUCAUGUGUAUGUUGCUACAUGAACGCGCCAUAUUUAUCUGUUAUAAGAGCAAGCCCUGGGAUAGGAACCUGGGCUGACCUCCAGGGGGACUGAGUUCAGAGGUCUAAGACCCAAGUGUCAUGGAGAGAGGAACUUUCAGAGAGCCCCGGGCCCCUGGGACAGGCCACAGGUGCAGAAACAUGGGCCCUGUUACCCUUUUGAUUCAGUCUCUCCCUGCCUCCCUGAAGAACAGGGGUCACACCCUUCCCUUCCUGGAACUUCCAAAGCUCCCCGUUGCCCUCGGGACGGAGCUCUUGGCGUGGGCCACUAGGGCUAGCCAGCAAGAGGCCUCUCAUUCCUGCAGCCUCAACUUUCAGUCUUUUUACCAGAUUCUCCCAUGUUCCAGACACAAGGGACUUUCUUCCCUUCUGCUGAAUGCUCUCCGUUCUUUCCUAGUUCCAGGCCUUGGUGCCAUCUGCUUCCUCUGCCUGGGAACUUGGUCACUCUCGUUCACCCUUCAUUGGGCUUAGCACUGCAUAGCCUUCAAGUCUCAGCUUCAUCCAUUUUUGUCAGGAAGGCUUCCCCAUUGUCUGAACAGGAUGAACCCCUGACCUGUUCUCCCAAGGCAUCCAGUACGGCCGGAUGUGACCCGCACUGCCCUUCAUGAAAUCUUGGACACAGUUUAUAAGUGGAUUGGAGCCCAAACCUGGACCCGUCCCCUUGCCAAAACCGUUGAAGGUCAAACUCACCGGGGCCAACGCAAUCUGAAACAAUGAAAACCGUGAAGGCGUCCAACAGCAGUGUAGAUGGUGACGCUGGAAGAGGCAAUGGUCACCGAGCAUGAAGGCAGUAAAAAGCUGUGUCACAAAGCCUUAAGAAUUCGAAUUCCCUUUGCUGUAGCGAUCUCACCUCUAGGA